This 116-nucleotide ribosomal RNA is filed under the name Pteropus alecto (black flying fox). Lineage: Eukaryota; Metazoa; Chordata; Mammalia; Chiroptera; Pteropodidae. The record is from RNAcentral.
GGUUUCAGUUAAAAAUGAAAUUUUAUCGGUCCCGUCUGAUCUCGGAAGCUAAGUAGGGUCGGGCCUGGUUAGUACUGGGAUGAGAGACUACCUAGGAAUACCAGGUGCUGUAGGCA